This 411-nucleotide ribosomal RNA is filed under the name Verrucomicrobiota bacterium. RNAcentral's name for it is "Verrucomicrobia bacterium partial 16S ribosomal RNA". It matches the Rfam family "Bacterial small subunit ribosomal RNA", at positions 355 to 776 of the family's 1533-position model. The record is from RNAcentral. Lineage: Bacteria; Pseudomonadati; Verrucomicrobiota.
UGGGGAAUAUUGCGCAAUGGGGGAAACCCUGACGCAGCGACGCCGCGUGCGGGAUGAAGGCCUUCGGGUUGUAAACCGCUUUUGAUUGGGAGCAAGCUUUCGGGUGAGUGUACCUUUCGAAUAAGCGCCGGCUAACUACGUGCCAGCAGCCGCGGUAAUACGUAGGGCGCAAGCGUUAUCCGGAAUUAUUGGGCGUAAAGAGCUUGUAGGCGGUUCGUCGCGUCUGGUGUGAAAGCCCACCGCUUAACGGUGGGUUUGCGCCGGGUACGGGCGGGCUAGAGUGCAGUAGGGGGGACUGGAAUUCCCGGUGUAACGGUGGAAUGUGUAGAUAUCGGGAAGAACACCAAUGGCGAAGGCAGGUCUCUGGGCUGUUACUGACGCUGAGAAGCGAAAGCGUGGGGAGCGAACAGG